CCAGCCCCUAGAGGCGGGGCCGUCGUGGCGCCAACUGUUCAAGAUGGCUGCAGAGAAGCUGAGGAGCAAAGUGGGCUCUGCCUUCAAGAUGCACGGUUUGCUGCUCCGAGCUGAAGCUAAUAAAUACCUUAUUGAAGCUCUUCAGUCUGUCAAUGAGUUAGAGCUUGAAGAUGUAAUAGAAAACAUCAUUGAUGCUGUUGAAAAACAGCCUUUGUCAUCUAAUAUGAUUGAACGGGCCACAGUGGAAGCCGCAGUCCAGGAAUGUAGCCAGUCAUUAGAUGAAACUAUAGAACACAUUUUCAAUAUUAUCGGGGCCUUUGACGUUCCACGUUAUGUUUAUAAUUCAGAAAGGAAGAAGUUUCUACCUCUAUCAAUGACCAACCAUCCUGCACCAAAUUUAUUUGGAACUGCCAGGGAUAAAGCCGAGUUGUUUCGUGAACGCUACACCAUCUUGCAGCAGAGGACUCAUAGACAUGAGUUGUUUACUCCUUCAGCGAUUGGUGCUCAUCCUGAUGACAGCAGGAGUAAAUUCCAGCUUAAAACAAUAGAAACUCUGUUGGGCAAUACAGCUAAAGUUGGGGAAGUGAUUGUUCUUGGGAUGAUAACACAGCUAAAAGAGGGGAAAUUUUUCUUGGAAGAUCCUACAGGAGUUGUUCAGCUAGACCUUAGUAAAGCACAGUUCCACAGUGGCUUAUAUACUGAGUCAUGCUUUGUUUUGGCAGAAGGCUGGUAUGAAGAUCAAGUAUUCCAUGUGAAUGCUUUUGGAUUUCCACCUACUGAGCCUUCUGCUACCACUAGGGCAUAUUAUGGGAACAUAAACUUUUUUGGAGGGCCUUCUUCAACUUCAGUAAAAGCUUCUGCAAAACUGAAACAACUGGAGGAUGAAAAUGAAGAUGCCAUGUUUGUUUUUGUUUCUGAUGUUUGGCUGGACCAAGUGGAAGUGUUAGAAAAGCUUCACACUAUGUUUUCAGGUUACUCCUCUGUGCCUCCAACUUGCUUUUUCUUUUGUGGAAAUUUUUCAUCUGCACCAUAUGGAAAAAAUCAAAUUCAAUCCCUAAAAGAUUCCCUCAAGGCUCUUGCCGACAUAAUAUGUGAAUACCCCAGCAUUCAUAAAAGCAGUCGAUUUGUGUUUGUUCCUGGUCCUGAAGAUCCUGGUCCUGGUCCAAUUUUGCCAAGGCCACCACUAGCCGAAAACAUCACUAGUGAAUUCAGACAGCAGGUGCCAUUUUCAGUUUUCACUACAAAUCCUUGCAGGGUUCAAUACUGCACACAAGAAAUCAUCAUCUUUCGUGAAGAUUUAGUAAAUAAAAUGUGCAGAAAUUGCGUCCGCUUUCCAAGCACCAACUUGGAUAUUCCUAACCAUUUUGUAAAGACUAUAUUAUCACAAGGACAUCUGACUCCACUUCCGCUUUAUGUCAGCCCUGUAUUUUGGGCAUAUGAUUACACCUUGAGAGUGUACCCUGUGCCAGAUCUGAUCGUCACUGCAGAUAAAUAUGAUCCUUUCACCGUUACUAAUACUGACUGCCUUUGCAUAAAUCCUGGUUCUUUUCCAAGAAGUGGAUUUUCAUUCAAAGUGUUCUAUCCCUCCAACAAAACAGUAGAAGACAGGUAAUAGCUUCAGGACCUGAUGUUAUUAACAAAUGAUUAACAUAACCACUUUCUGCUUGCUUUCUUCUCAGAAUGAACAGGAAUAUUUAAUGAUCUAGACAAAAGAACAUAAUCUCUGGUUACCCCACAGGGGUCUACUUGUAUCCAUACAUAGCGUUCUUGGGGACAGUGAAGUGAAGCAAACUUCAAGAUCUCUGAAUUUCUGAAAGACUGCAUGAAGAAGUCAAAUAUUCUGUUCCAACAUACUGCAGAACUAAUUUUAGAUUGUUUCAUAUGGUUAUGGAUUUAUUUUAUUGUGUGUUAGAUUAUUCAUAUUUAAAUGUCAAUGCAAAAGACUGAUAAAUUUUGUAAAUAAAUUUUACAGGGAAAAAAAAGUCAGUGUUAGUAUAUUAUGAAUCAUUCAUUCUUCUAAGAAACUGUGUUUGAGUAACCUGCAAGAUCGAAAACUAAAAGUGUGGAUGCAAUUAAAACAGAUACUCAAACUGGAUAUAUUUUAUAUUUAAACAUUAAGUACGUAUUCAAAAUUGUGUGCCUCUUCCGAGAAUUUUGUUUUUUAACCUUGUGCUAGUCUUUAAGUCAGGAUCUACUUCUGACACAAAUAUAGAAGACCUCUUUCUUGAGCAGUUUUGUAUGAUUUAUUCUACACUUGAUUUGACAGUUUAA
Non-coding RNA from Chrysemys picta bellii (western painted turtle), 2271 nucleotides. The record is from RefSeq and is a predicted model, not a curated record. NCBI's taxonomy places the organism in Eukaryota, Metazoa, Chordata, Testudines, Emydidae.